Molecule: ribosomal RNA, 616 nt
Filed under: Debaryomyces hansenii
Lineage: Eukaryota; Fungi; Ascomycota; Pichiomycetes; Serinales; Debaryomycetaceae
Description: eukaryotic LSU rRNA
Rfam family: Eukaryotic large subunit ribosomal RNA
Source: RNAcentral
UGCAUAUCAAUAAGCGGAGGAAAAGAAACCAACAGGGAUUGCCUUAGUAACGGCGAGUGAAGCGGCAAAAGCUCAAAUUUGAAAUCUGGCACCUUCGGUGUCCGAGUUGUAAUUUGAAGAAGGUAACUUUGGAGUUGGCUCUUGUCUAUGUUCCUUGGAACAGGACGUCACAGAGGGUGAGAAUCCCGUGCGAUGAGAUGCCCAAUUCUAUGUAAAGUGCUUUCGAAGAGUCGAGUUGUUUGGGAAUGCAGCUCUAAGUGGGUGGUAAAUUCCAUCUAAAGCUAAAUAUUGGCGAGAGACCGAUAGCGAACAAGUACAGUGAUGGAAAGAUGAAAAGAACUUUGAAAAGAGAGUGAAAAAGUACGUGAAAUUGUUGAAAGGGAAGGGCUUGAGAUCAGACUUGGUAUUUUGCGAUCCUUUCCUUCUUGGUUGGGUUCCUCGCAGCUUACUGGGCCAGCAUCGGUUUGGAUGGUAGGAUAAUGACUAAGGAAUGUGGCUCUACUUCGGUGGAGUGUUAUAGCCUUGGUUGAUACUGCCUGUCUAGACCGAGGACUGCGUCUUUUGACUAGGAUGUUGGCAUAAUGAUCUUAAGCCACCCGUCUUGAAACACGGACCA